RNAcentral lists this ribosomal RNA (460 nucleotides) under uncultured bacterium. RNAcentral's name for it is "partial 16S ribosomal RNA". It matches the Rfam family "Bacterial small subunit ribosomal RNA", at positions 338 to 795 of the family's 1533-position model. The record is from RNAcentral.
CCUACGGGAGGCUGCAGUGAGGAAUAUUGGUCAAUGGACGAGAGUCUGAACCAGCCAAGUAGCGUGAAGGAUGACUGCCCUAUGGGUUGUAAACUUCUUUUAUCAAGGAAUAAAACGAGGCACGUGUGCCUUUUUGCAUGUACUUUAUGAAUAAGGAUCGGCUAACUCCGUGCCAGCAGCCGCGGUAAUACGGAGGAUCCGAGCGUUAUCCGGAUGUAUUGGGUUUAAAGGGAGCGUAGAUGGGUUGUUAAGUCAGUUGUGAAAGUUUGCGGCUCAACCGUAAAAUUGCAAUUGAUACUGGCAGUCUUGAGUACAGUUGAGGUAGGCGGAAUUCGUGGUGUAGCGGUGAAAUGCUUAGAUAUCACGAAGAACCCCGAUUGCGAAGGCAGCUUACUAAACUGUGACUGACAUUGAUGCUCGAAAGUGUGGGUAUCAAACAGGAUUAGAUACCCCUGUAGUC